RNAcentral lists this long non-coding RNA (1066 nucleotides) under Musa acuminata (dwarf banana). Its description in RNAcentral is "long non-coding RNA (MACU_LNC002260)". The record is from RNAcentral. Lineage: Eukaryota; Viridiplantae; Streptophyta; Magnoliopsida; Zingiberales; Musaceae.
UACUGUUACCAAUUAGAUUAUCCAUAUCUCUAACUUCAAUUUUUUGCACACCUGGAAUUGUUUCUGCCAUCAUUUCUGUUCUCUUGGAACAUUAAAGAUCAUUGACAACAGAUUUUACAUCAUUAAGAGUUUUUAAUCUUUUGGCUUCAGGACUUGGUAGCAAAGCCAGAAUAUCAGCACCAGUGAGUAGUUUAAGUGUUUUGUGUAUGCGUGUGCAUUUUCUUUUCGGGAGGGUUUUCUGCAUCAUUAAUUUUGCUUAUACUGAGGUCGCUUUGUCAAAAUGAAUAAAAUAUUUGCCAACCUGCACAAAUGUUGAGAUCAAUUGUAGUUUUUUCUUUUUAGAAAACUGAGCUUUUUUUAAGUAACUGGGACUGUAUCAGUCCCCAAACAGAAUUCUCCUCCGAGGCUCGAUGAGAACAAAAAUGCCCUGCCCGAAUGGCAAGGUUGUGGGCUGCAAAAUUCCCCUCCCCGUGUACAUGUUCAAAGCACAAAACAUUUAAACUCUUAGCCAUCUGAAGUAUAUUAUUACAAAUAUUUUUCAAAUGCUAUGGAAGGGGCUUAGAUAUGCUUUUGCCACAAAUCAUCACAGCUCCUAGACAAUCAGAUUUUAUGGUGAUAUUAAUCAAGCUUAUCUGGGAAGCUUUCUUAAGUCCAUCCCAUAUAGCCCAGCAUUAUGCCUGAAGACGUCUUGAAGCCUGGUGCACGUUGCUGCCCUCUAGAAUGAUAGUGACCUGUGAAUCAGCAAUGCAAAAAUCAGUACCUGCAUAUACAUCAGGAUCAGUGAACAGAAAAUAGUAAGGAAGAGAGAUCCCUGUUCGGCUCAAGCAGUGAGGGGGUUGAGGAAGAUCAAUUGUAGUCGAAUCUGUAUUUUUUGAACAGCAGAGAAAUCAAACAAGUAAAUGAAAUUAUUUGAUUAAAAGUAAUUAUGUAACCAUAUUAGUUUAGUAAAUGGGCCUAUUUGAUUUCUCAGUUAUCAUGUUGUAAUUACGUUAUCAAGCCACCAAAUUUAGUUUUGUAUUCAAGCAACACACAUCGGAAGUGGGCAAAAAUUAAAAUUGACUGAUGG